This 1560-nucleotide long non-coding RNA is filed under the name Macaca fascicularis (crab-eating macaque). Its description in RNAcentral is "lncRNA (ENSMFAG00000053074.1)". Lineage: Eukaryota; Metazoa; Chordata; Mammalia; Primates; Cercopithecidae. The record is from RNAcentral.
UGGACUCCAAUACACCUUGGCCAUGAAUAAGGGGCUGGAAAGGGGACUCUUUGUGGGGAGGGAGCAGGCCUGGGCUCUAGUCCUAUAUCUUCCAUAUGUGUCCCAGGCAAGUAUACAUCAUCCCUUCUCUCACUUGUUCCGCAGUAAUGUAUUGAAUAUUUUAUGCCAGGCGCUGUUCUAGGAGCUUGGGACACAUGGAUGAAGAAGGCAGACCCGUUUCCCCAUCCGUGUGGAGUUUACGUUCCGGGGCAGGAGACAGGUCAGUACAUUUUAGUUUUGUUAGAGAGUGGUAAGUGCUGUGGAGGAAAGGAAAGUUGUUUCUGGGGACGCAGGGCUGGGGGCAGGUUGUAGUCUUUGAUAGGGCGUUGGGAUGGGCCUCAUUGACAAGGUGAGAUUUGAGCACAGGCCUGAAGGAGGGUAGGAAGUUCACCAAGCCCACGGCCGAGCAGAAAUCACAGCCAGAGCAGAGAUCCCCUGGUGGGAAUGUGCCUGGCCUGGCUGACGAACCGCAAGGAGGCCAGCAUUGCUGGGGUGGAGUGACUGAGACGGAGAGGGAGAGGGAGGGACGGGAGGUCAUGAGUGUGCAGCCAGAUCCUGCAGACACCCACUGAACUUUGGCUUUACACCGAGUGAAGCCGGGAGCCAUGGGAAGGCUCUGAGCAGAGGAGUGUCACCUCCUGACUCGUGCUGUGAAAGGGCGGCUUGGGCUGCUGCUCGGGGGAUCUGUACAGGAUGGGCAGAUCAUCCCCAUGCCUGGUGGGCUGCUGCGAAGGUCGGUGGGGACACUGGGUGAGGAAAUGCUUGGAAACAAAAGGCCCUGAGUGUGGUUACAGGGCUUCCAGGAGAAGGACCUGAGUGACUCUGCUCACACCCAUCUUAUUGAAGGGUCAGUGGAGCUCAGGAGAGGGUUAUGAUUUGCCCAGGGUCGUAUGUUCUACCACCGAUUCAGGAUCGGGGACUUCCCACUCUUCUCCCAGGGCAAAUACCAUCUGGCAGGUGGCUAAGUAGCGCAGCCUUUGGACCUGUGAUGGCUGUAGUGCGGCUGACGGAGACGAGUCCUCCCGUGAAGAUCCAUUCACUGCACAAAUAUUUGUUAAGUGCCAGUUAUGGGCCAGGCACUGAUCUGGACAAGGAGCUGGGACCUAGAGGCAUUGGGAGACACCUGGCAAGGGCUAAGUCCUGGUCUCUGGUGGUAAAGAAGAUGAUGUCAUUCAUACAAGCAGGAAGGCAUUCGCUCGUUUGAGGAACAGAAAGAGCACAGUGCGUCUGAUGAGCGGGGAGAGGCGUUUCAGCUGAAGAGCCGGGCUGGGACCAGGUCGUGUACUCUGGUAGUAGUCUCUGGGGAAUAUUCCGAGAACAAUGGGAAGCCCUCAGAGGGCCAGGCGGGAGGUGCUGGGUCUGGUUUAUAUUUGAAAAUUAUGCAUAGCACACAGAUUUAAGGAGGCAAGAGGCCAGGCACGGUGGCUCACAUCUGUAAUCCCAGCACUUUGGGAGGCGGAGGAGGGCAGAUCAUGAAGUUGGGAGUUCGAGACCAGCCUGGCCAACAUGGUGAAACCCCAU